AAGUCGUAACAAGGUUUCCUUCACCUAUUGAAGCCUUCAGCAGCGACUGUAAAGAAAUGCGUAGUUUGCUUGCAAGCAAUGCCACUCAAAUGCUGAGACAUCUGAAUCAGCAGCCUUCUAGGCUCACAGAUCAAAUUGUGGUAACCAUUCUUAUGGGCAAGAUAUGACCGGUCUUAACUAGAGUUAGUUAAGAAUCCACGUUCCGUAGGUGAACCUGCGGAAGGAUCAUUAAAGGUUUCGGGUACCCAGUGCCCAAACUUCAACCCUAUGUUUUAACUAUACAUGUUUCUUUGCCGGUUUCGGCCGGCAGAAGUUUUCUCAAACUCAUUAUUAAAUGUGUCUUCUGAAUCAAAAUUAAAUAAAUUAAAACUUUCAACAACGGAUCUCUUGGUUCUGGCAUCGAUGAAGAACGCAGCGAAAUGCGAUAAGUAAUGUGAAUUGCAGAAUUCAGUGAAUCAUCGAAUCUUUGAACGCACAUUGCGCCCUGUGGUAUUCCGCAGGNCAUGCCUGUUCGAGCGUCAUUUAACCACUCACGCCUAGCGUGGUAUUGGGGCACGNGGUCUCGCGNCCCUCAAAAUUAGUGGCGGCGCCGGUGGGCUCUAAGCGUAGUACAUACUCCCGCUAUAGAGUUUCUCCGGUGGCUCGCCAGAACCCCCAAUUUUUUACAGGUUGACCUCGGAUCAGGUAGGGAUACCCGCUGAACUUAAGCAUAUCAAUAAGCGGAGGAAAAGAAACCAACAGGGAUUACCUCAGUAACGGCGAGUGAAGCGGUAACAGCUCAAAUUUGAAAGCUGNCAACAGGCCGCGUUGUAAUUUGUAGAAGCUGCUUUGGGUGUCGGCCCGGUUUAAGUUCCUUGGAACAGGACGUCAUAGAGGGUGAGAAUCCCGUAUGUGAUCGGUGCCGUUGCCCGUGUAAAGCGCUUUCGACGAGUCGAGUUGUUUGGGAAUGCAGCUCAAAAUGGGUGGUAAAUUUCAUCUAAAGCUAAAUAUUGGCCAGAGACCGAUAGCGCACAAGUAGAGUGAUCGAAAGAUGAAAAGCACUUUGGAAAGAGAGUUAAACAGUACGUGAAAUUGUUGAAAGGGAAGCGCUUGCAACCAGACUUGCGGGCGGUCGAUCAUCCGAGGUUCUCCCCGGUGCACUCGAUCGUUCUCAGGCCAGCAUCGGUUUCCGGGGUGGGAUAAAGGCGGUGGGAAUGUGGCUCUUCGGAGUGUUAUAGCCCACCGUGCAAUGCCGCCACUGGGGACCGAGGACCGCGCUUCGGCUAGGAUGCUGGCGUAAUGGUUGUAAGCGACC
RNAcentral lists this ribosomal RNA (1294 nucleotides) under uncultured fungus. RNAcentral describes it as "eukaryotic LSU rRNA". The stretch from base 671 to 1294 matches the Rfam family "Eukaryotic large subunit ribosomal RNA", at positions 1 to 649 of the family's 3401-position model. The record is from RNAcentral. Lineage: Eukaryota; Fungi.